This 495-nucleotide ribosomal RNA is filed under the name uncultured bacterium. RNAcentral describes it as "partial 16S ribosomal RNA". It matches the Rfam family "Bacterial small subunit ribosomal RNA", at positions 28 to 507 of the family's 1533-position model. The record is from RNAcentral.
GACGAACGCUGGCGGCGUGCCUAAUACAUGCAAGUAGAACGCUGAAGGAGGAGCUUGCUUCUCCGGAUGAGUUGCGAACGGGUGAGUAACGCGUAGGUAACCUGCCUGGUAGCGGGGGAUAACUAUUGGAAACGAUAGCUAAUACCGCAUAAGAGUAGAUGUCGCAUGACAUUUGCUUAAAAGGUGCAACUGCACCACUACCAGAUGGACCUGCGUUGUAUUAGCUAGUUGGUGAGGUAACGGCUCACCAAGGCAACGAUACAUAGCCGACCUGAGAGGGUGAUCGGCCACACUGGGACUGAGACACGGCCCAGACUCCUACGGGAGGCAGCAGUAGGGAAUCUUCGGCAAUGGACGGAAGUCUGACCGAGCAACGCCGCGUGAGUGAAGAAGGUUUUCGGAUCGUAAAGCUCUGUUGUAAGAGAAGAACGAGUGUGAGAGUGGAAAGUUCACACUGUGACGGUAUCUGACCAGAAAGGGACGGCUAACUACGUG